This 250-nucleotide ribosomal RNA is filed under the name uncultured bacterium. RNAcentral's name for it is "partial 16S ribosomal RNA". It matches the Rfam family "Bacterial small subunit ribosomal RNA", at positions 524 to 773 of the family's 1533-position model. The record is from RNAcentral.
UACGGAGGGGGCUAGCGUUGUUCGGAAUGACUGGGCGUAAAGCGCGCGUAGGCGGAUCGGUAAGUUGGGGGUGAAAUCCCGGGGCUCAACCCUGGAAUGGCCUUCAAGACUCCCGGUCUUGAGUUCGAGAGAGGUGAGUGGAAUUCCGAGUGUAGAGGUGAAAUUCGUAGAUAUUCGGAGGAACACCAGUGGCGAAGGCGGCUCACUGGCUCGACACUGACGCUGAGGCGCGAAAGCGUGGGGAGCAAAC